CAAACGUUCAGCAAUUAUUUUUCAUUUUUAGGAGUCAUCUAGUCUAUACCUAAUUCAAAAGCAAUUUUUAAAGCAGACUCAACUUGCCUGGAUCUUGAUUUCCCAAAUCAUUUAUCAAGGUUUAUGUAGAAACAACUUUCAUUUUGCAUUGAUGUGUAAAAGGUUACAUAAUGUUGAAUUAAGUUUCACAGUGUUACUGGAACAGGGUCCCGAUCCAGACCCCGAGAAAGGGGGUUCUUAAACCUCGUGCAAGAAAGAAUUUGGGGUGAGUCCACAAAGUGAAAGCAAGUUUAUGAAGAAAGUAAAGGAAUGAAAGAACGGCUACUCUGUAGGCAAACCAGUGGUGUGGGCUCCAAACCAAAUACACUUACAGUUAUUUCUUGAUGAUAUUUCUUGAUAACAAGGGGUGGGUCAUUCAUGAGUUUGCCGGGAAAGUGGUGGGUAAUUCCUGUAACUGAGGGCUGCUCCCCUUUUUAGACCACAUAGGGUAGCUUCCUGACACUGCCAUGCUCGUGCGUUAUAAUUAGUAUAUAAUGAGGAGUGAGGGUGACCAGAGGACACUUUCAUCACCGUCUUGGUUUCAGCCAGCUUCGUUACCAUAUUCUGUUUUAUCAGCAGGGUCUUUGUGACCUAUAUCUCCUGCCCACCUCCUACUCAUCCUGUGACUAAGAACGCUUAACUUCCCAGGGAUGCAGCCCACAGGUCUCAGCCUCAUUUCACCCAGCCCCUGUUCAAGACGGAGUCGCUCUGGUUCAAAUGCCUCUGACACUAGUAAGGAUCACAGGUGGCAUCAACAGGUUUGGAGCAAACCUGAGGGUCUUCUGGUCGGUCACAUCUCCACUGACGAAAUUCACGACCAGCAGAGAGCAGGCUCCUCGCCCUCCUGGGGCUCACUGAGUCAUCCAGCCCAUUUUGACCAAGAUUAUGUGAGUUGUGGGAGCAGAGGUUGGUUGACAGAGCUCCCGCUGUUUGUAAUCACAGUGUCUUGCAAAAAAUAAAUUAAAAAACACAAGAAUACACUCCCGUGCAUGAUCCUACAGCCCAGAGGCAUCCACUUACUACAUUUUGCAUAUAGUUUUCCAGUUACUGACAAAUACUUUAAUGUACUUACAGUCAACAUCGUUGCAGGGAUAGAGGGAACCGUCAUCCACAAACUGCCCUCAGUUCUGCACCAGUUACAAGGGUAGGGGUCUCCAAGACCACCCUCAGGUUUGAUAAUUCACUAGAAAAACUCACUGAAAGCUGAUAUACUCAUGGUCACGGCUUAGCACAGGAGCAGGACACAGACAAAAAUCAACCCAGGGGAAGGUGCUCAGGCUGGAGUCCAGGAAGUUCCCACCUGCAGAGCGUCCUGUUGUCCCUUCCCAUGGAGCUGUGGACGGUGUCCUUUCUGGCACCCAGGCAGGAUCACCUGAGCUUAGUGUCCCAGAGCCUUUACUGGGGCCCCGUGGUUGACUGCCCAGGCGGAUGGAGGUCUCCAGCUCACUCGGGAGGGUGAGCCGAUUACAACGCCCACCUAGUGAAAGACUAGUGAAAGAUUAGUGAAAGACUAACGUGGCAAAGACCAAAAAUAAAAAUGAAAGCAGUCUCCGGUUGUCCCGUUGGCUCACCGUGUCCUGGCCCUCUCCCCGGCUUGGCAGAGUCUGUGAGGCCUUCCGUUGUCCCUAAACUGUGUCACUUCUUCAGUUGUGGAAGACACAGAGUGUACAUGGUCCUCGUCCACUGAAAUGCAAGUGAGUGUCGUCUGUUAGGAUGCAGCCGGUUAUUGCCUUGUAGGUAUUGGCCAGUUUUAUGUCUGUCUGUAAAUCCAUCUCAGCAUUCUGAUUGCCAGUAAGUGAGAGUGUGCCAGUCCUUGUUGAACUGACUGUAACAUCUGACUGGUUUCCUCGUUCACUCACAAGUAAAACCAAAUAUUUGGUGUGUGUCCAUUUUAUAUUUGUAUGAGAAUCACGAUGUCAGUUUGAAAAAUAUUCUUUUCCUGUCCCCGUCAGCCCAUUGCCUAGAGUCCCUCAUGAAAAGGCGCAGAGCAGCUUCCCUUGUCUUUAUUUUUCCUUCUCCUGAAACGCAGCACAUUUUGACGGCUUGUUCACUGGACUCCAGGCUCAUGAGAGAAGAAUCCUCUCAGUCUGGCUUUCUACUGAAUCCUCAACCCCAG
This 2155-nucleotide long non-coding RNA is filed under the name Macaca fascicularis (crab-eating macaque). RNAcentral describes it as "lncRNA (ENSMFAG00000062970.1)". The record is from RNAcentral. Lineage: Eukaryota; Metazoa; Chordata; Mammalia; Primates; Cercopithecidae.